ACCCCUCAGAUUCCUUACCCACCGGACCUACCCACUGGUCUGAGUGGUUAUCAAAGAAGGAAAAGACCUAGAGAGCAGAGAGUGCUCCUCAGAGUCGUGACGGGUUAGGCUGCUAACUGCCAGGC
Molecule: small nucleolar RNA, 125 nt
Filed under: Echinops telfairi (small Madagascar hedgehog)
Lineage: Eukaryota; Metazoa; Chordata; Mammalia; Afrosoricida; Tenrecidae
Description: Small nucleolar RNA SNORA61 (ENSETEG00000025044.1)
Source: RNAcentral